Long non-coding RNA from Frieseomelitta varia, 149 nucleotides. RefSeq lists it as uncharacterized. The record is from RefSeq and is a predicted model, not a curated record. The transcript is spliced from 2 exons. NCBI's taxonomy places the organism in Eukaryota, Metazoa, Arthropoda, Insecta, Hymenoptera, Apidae.
AUCUUCGUUGGGGUAUGCGCGGCUCGUGCUUUCGCUUCAGUCGGAAGGUGCAUUAAAGCCAGAGAGUGUUGAGAAAAUGGAGGACUGCGAAUAUACCUUCACUAACAAGAUGAGCUGCGUGUGGAGGAAGCGAAAAUGGGUGAAAAAGG